GGUUCUGGUUCAGUGGUAGAGCGCUCACCUAGCAGGCAUGAGACACUGAGUUCAAUUCUCAGCACCA
RNAcentral lists this transfer RNA (67 nucleotides) under Marmota monax (woodchuck). RNAcentral's name for it is "tRNA.Ala". Lineage: Eukaryota; Metazoa; Chordata; Mammalia; Rodentia; Sciuridae. The record is from RNAcentral.